CCGUGUGCUUACAAGUAGUCAGAGCCCGUUAAUGGGUGAUGGCGUGCCUUUUGUAGAAUGAACCGGCGAGUUACGAUCUGAUGCAAGGUUAAGCAGCAAAUGUGGAGCCGCAGCGAAAGCGAGUCUGAAUAGGGCGUUGAGUAUUUGGUCGUAGACCCGAAACCAGGUGAUCUACCCUUGGUCAGGUUGAAGUUCAGGUAACACUGAAUGGAGGACCGAACCGACUUACGUUGAAAAGUGAGCGGAUGAACUGAGGGUAGCGGAGAAAUUCCAAUCGAACUUGGAGAUAGCUGGUUCACUCCGAAAUAGCUUUAGGGCUAGCCUCAAGUGAUGAUUAUUGGAGGUAGAGCACUGUUUGGACGAGGGGCCCCUCUCGGGUUACCGAAUUCAGACAAACUCCGAAUGCCAAUUAAUUUAACUUGGGAGUCAGAACAUGGGUGAUAAGGUCCGUGUUCGAAAGGGAAACAGCCCAGACCACCAGCUAAGGUCCCAAAAUAUAUGUUAAGUGGAAAAGGAUGUGGCGUUGCCCAGACAACUAGGAUGUUGGCUUAGAAGCAGCCAUCAUUUAAAGAGUGCGUAAUAGCUCACUAGUCGAGUGACACUGCGCCGAAAAUGUACCGGGGCUAAACAUAUUACCGAAGCUGUGGAUUGUCCUUUGGACAAUGGUAGGAGAGCGUUCUAAGGGCGUCGAAGCAUGAUCGCAAGGACAUGUGGAGCGCUUAGAAGUGAGAAUGCCGGUGUGAGUAGCGAAAGACGGGUGAGAAUCCCGUCCACCGAUUGACUAAGGUUUCCAGAGGAAGGCUCGUCCGCUCUUGGGUUAGUCGGGUCCUAAGCUGAGGCCGACAGGCGUAGGCGAUGGAUAACAGCUUGAUAUUCCUGUACCACCUAGUAUCGUUUUAAUCGAUGGGGGGACGCAGUAGGAUAGGCGAAGCGUGCUGUUGGAGUGCACGUCCAAGCAGUAAGGCUGAGUGUUAGGCAAAUCCGGCACUCAUAAGGCUGAGCUGUGAUGGUGAGAGGAAAUUGUUUCCUCGAGUCGUUGAUUUCACACUGCCGAGAAAAGCCUCUAGAUAGAUAACAGGUGCCCGUACCGCAAACCGACACACGUAGUCAAGAUGAGAAUUCUAAGGUGAGCGAGCGAACUCUCGUUAAGGAACUCGGCAAAAUGACCCCGUAACUUCGGGAGAAGGGGUGCUCUUUAGGGUUCACGCACAGAAGAGCCGCAGUGAAUAGGCCCAAGCGACUGUUCAUCAAAAACACAGGUCUCUGCUAAACCGUAAGGUGAUGUAUAGGGGCUGACGCCUGCCAGGUGCUGGAAGGUUAAGAGGAGUGGUUAGCUUCUGCGAAGCUACGAAUCGAAGCCCCAGUAAACGGCGGCCGUAACUAUAACGGUCCUAAGGUAGCGAAAUUCCUUGUCGGGUAAGUUCCGACCCGCACGAAAGGCGUAACGAUUUGGGCACUGUCUCAACGAGAGACUCGGUGAAAUCAUAGUACCUGUGAAGAUGCAGGUUACCCGCGACAGGACGGAAAGACCCCGUGGAGCUUUACUGUAGCCUGAUAUUGAAAUUCGGCACAGCUUGUACAGGAUAGGUAGGAGCCUUUGAAACGUGAGCGCUAGCUUACGUGGAGGCGUUGGUGGGAUACUACCCUAGCUGUGUUGGCUUUCUAACCCGCACCACUUAUCGUGGUGGGAGACAGUGUCAGGCGGGCAGUUUGACUGGGGCGGUCGCCUCCUAAAAGGUAACGGAGGCGCUCAAAGGUUCCCUCAGAAUGG
Molecule: ribosomal RNA, 1771 nt
Filed under: Staphylococcus epidermidis Scl19
Lineage: Bacteria; Bacillati; Bacillota; Bacilli; Caryophanales; Staphylococcaceae
Description: bacterial LSU rRNA
Rfam family: Bacterial large subunit ribosomal RNA
Source: RNAcentral